RNAcentral lists this ribosomal RNA (1109 nucleotides) under Escherichia coli. RNAcentral's name for it is "partial 23S ribosomal RNA". It matches the Rfam family "Bacterial large subunit ribosomal RNA", at positions 44 to 1194 of the family's 2925-position model. The record is from RNAcentral. Lineage: Bacteria; Pseudomonadati; Pseudomonadota; Gammaproteobacteria; Enterobacterales; Enterobacteriaceae.
AGGCGAUGAAGGACGUGCUAAUCUGCGAUAAGCGUCGGUAAGGUGAUAUGAACCGUUAUAACCGGCGAUUUCCGAAUGGGGAAACCCAGUGUGAUUCGUCACACUAUCAUUAACUGAAUCCAUAGGUUAAUGAGGCGAACCGGGGGAACUGAAACAUCUAAGUACCCCGAGGAAAAGAAAUCAACCGAGAUUCCCCCAGUAGCGGCGAGCGAACGGGGAGCAGCCCAGAGCCUGAAUCAGUGUGUGUGUUAGUGGAAGCGUCUGGAAAGGCGCGCGAUACAGGGUGACAGCCCCGUACACAAAAAUGCACAUACUGUGAGCUCGAUGAGUAGGGCGGGACACGUGGUAUCCUGUCUGAAUAUGGGGGGACCAUCCUCCAAGGCUAAAUACUCCUGACUGACCGAUAGUGAACCAGUACCGUGAGGGAAAGGCGAAAAGAACCCCGGCGAGGGGAGUGAAAAAGAACCUGAAACCGUGUACGUACAAGCAGUGGGAGCACGCUUAGGCGUGUGACUGCGUACCUUUUGUAUAAUGGGUCAGCGACUUAUAUUCUGUAGCAAGGUUAACCGAAUAGGGGAGCCGAAGGGAAACCGAGUCUUAACUGGGCGUUAAGUUGCAGGGUAUAGACCCGAAACCCGGUGAUCUAGCCAUGGGCAGGUUGAAGGUUGGGUAACACUAACUGGAGGACCGAACCGACUAAUGUUGAAAAAUUAGCGGAUGACUUGUGGCUGGGGGUGAAAGGCCAAUCAAACCGGGAGAUAGCUGGUUCUCCCCGAAAGCUAUUUAGGUAGCGCCUCGUGAAUUCAUCUCCGGGGGUAGAGCACUGUUUCGGCAAGGGGGUCAUCCCGACUUACCAACCCGAUGCAAACUGCGAAUACCGGAGAAUGUUAUCACGGGAGACACACGGCGGGUGCUAACGUCCGUCGUGAAGAGGGAAACAACCCAGACCGCCAGCUAAGGUCCCAAAGUCAUGGUUAAGUGGGAAACGAUGUGGGAAGGCCCAGACAGCCAGGAUGUUGGCUUAGAAGCAGCCAUCAUUUAAAGAAAGCGUAAUAGCUCACUGGUCGAGUCGGCCUGCGCGGAAGAUGUAACGGGGCUAAACCAUGCAC